This is a long non-coding RNA of Octopus sinensis (East Asian common octopus), 355 nucleotides long. RefSeq lists it as uncharacterized. The transcript is spliced from 2 exons. The record is from RefSeq and is a predicted model, not a curated record. Lineage: Eukaryota; Metazoa; Mollusca; Cephalopoda; Octopoda; Octopodidae.
UACGUAGAAAAAUACAGAGAUUAUGAUUCUGAAAAAAAAAUUCUGUAAAAUUUUAAUUUUUCAAAAAAAAAAAAAAUUAAAAUAAACACCCCUCUCCUUCAUCCUAUGACAAGAAAUGAAAUUAAAGUGUUUUCUCUACUGUUUCAUGACGAACAUAACCCAACAUGUUGUGGUUGAGGGUCUUUUGGAAUUAAGAGAGGCAUGAAAAAAUUAGAUUUUUUGCACACACAAACACAACAAAAUGACGUUUAAACAAUUUUUUUUUUCUCUUUUGGUAAUUCGUAUUUAGAAAGUUGAUCCUCGAUUUUUUUUUGCAGAUUCGGAAUCUCCGCCCUCGAUAUAGUGUGUUCGUGUA